This 285-nucleotide long non-coding RNA is filed under the name Sander lucioperca (pikeperch). Its description in RNAcentral is "lncRNA (ENSSLUG00000023642.1)". The record is from RNAcentral. Lineage: Eukaryota; Metazoa; Chordata; Actinopteri; Perciformes; Percidae.
CUAAGACGGCCCACAACAACAACUCCAGCCGCUUCGGCAAGUUCAUCCAGGUCAACUACCAGGAGAGUGGCACGGUCAGAGGAGCCUAUGUGGAGAAGUACCUGCUGGAGAAAUCCCGUCUGGUUUACCAAGAGCACAAUGAGAGGAACUACCAUGUUUUCUACUACCUGUUGGCCGGAGCCAGUGAAGAAGAGAGGAAGUCCUUCCACCUGCUCAAACCUGAGGAAUACCACUACCUCAACCAGGACUGCUUCACAGUGGAAGGAGAAGAUCUGAAACAUGACU